This 459-nucleotide ribosomal RNA is filed under the name uncultured bacterium. RNAcentral describes it as "bacterial SSU rRNA". It matches the Rfam family "Bacterial small subunit ribosomal RNA", at positions 29 to 533 of the family's 1533-position model. The record is from RNAcentral.
AACGAACGCUGGCGGCAGGGCCUAACACAUGCAAGUCGAACGAAGCCUUCGGACUUAGUGGCGGACGGGUGAGUAACGCGUGGGAACGUGCCCUUUGCUUCGGAAUAGCCCCGGGAAACUGGGAGUAAUACCGGAUAAGCCCUACGGGGGAAAGAUUUAUCGGCGAAGGAUCGGCCCGCGUUGGAUUAGGUAGUUGGUGGGGUAAUGGCCUACCAAGCCGACGAUCCAUAGCUGGUUUGAGAGGAUGAUCAGCCACACUGGGACUGAGACACGGCCCAGACUCCUACGGGAGGCAGCAGUGGGGAAUCUUAGACAAUGGGGGAAACCCUGAUCUAGCCAUGCCGCGUGAUCGAUGAAGGCCUUAGGGUUGUAAAGAUCUUUCAGUGGGGAAGAUAAUGACUGUACCCACAGAAGAAGCCCGGCUAACUCCGUGCCAGCAGCCGCGGUAAAGUACAGUGU